ACUAAACCUUCCAAAUCCAGCACAUUUUUUAGAAGAGAAGAAAACAUAUUCAAACAUCAGACAAUUAGAACAUAUUUCCGACACGGAGUUCUCUUCAGAACAAGAAUCGAGUUCAGAAAACGAAACACUCGUGAUUGGAGGUUCAUGCCCGGAAUCAAAAAUUCUUAUAAUCAA
Molecule: long non-coding RNA, 174 nt
Organism: Cimex lectularius (bed bug)
Lineage: Eukaryota; Metazoa; Arthropoda; Insecta; Hemiptera; Cimicidae
Exons: 2
Source: RefSeq, a predicted model, not a curated record